This 253-nucleotide ribosomal RNA is filed under the name uncultured bacterium. Its description in RNAcentral is "partial 16S ribosomal RNA". It matches the Rfam family "Bacterial small subunit ribosomal RNA", at positions 524 to 776 of the family's 1533-position model. The record is from RNAcentral.
UACGUAGGGGGCGAGCGUUGUCCGGAAUUACUGGGCGUAAAGCGCACGUAGGUGGUUUGUUAAGCUAGCUGUGAAAUCCCCGGGCUCAACCUGGGCACUGCAGUUAGAACUGGCAAGCUAGAGUAGGGUAGAGGGGUGUGGAAUUCCAGGUGUAGCGGUGAAAUGCGUAGAUAUCUGGAGGAACAUCAGUGGCGAAGGCGACACCCUGGACUCAUACUGACACUGAGGUGCGAAAGCGUGGGGAGCGAACAGG